GGGCGUAAAGCGAACGUAGGCGGAUUGUUAAGUGAGGGGGGAAAUCCCAGGGCUAAACCCUGGAACUGCCUUUCAUACUGGCAAUCUAGAGUCCGAGAGAGGUGAGUGGAAUUCCGAGUGUAGAGGUGAAAUUCGUAGAUAUUCGGAGGAACACCAGUGGCGAAGGCGGCUCACUGGCUCGGUACUGACGCUGAGGUGCGAAAGCGUGGGGAGCAAACAG
RNAcentral lists this ribosomal RNA (220 nucleotides) under uncultured bacterium. RNAcentral's name for it is "partial 16S ribosomal RNA". It matches the Rfam family "Bacterial small subunit ribosomal RNA", at positions 556 to 775 of the family's 1533-position model. The record is from RNAcentral.